AGGAGCCCGGGGAAGCACACUUUGUGCCAAGGAGUGAGCCGGGGGCACAGAGAGAUGAGUGGCGGACAAGGCGUGGGGGGCUUGGGGUGGGGGGAAGCUGUAUCCGCCGCUUCUCAAACAAGGACCCUGGGCGGGAGACCCUGAGCCGCUGCUCAAACUUACGCUGCCCCGUAGGGCUGCUUAGUUUUCGCCGUGCAUCUAUCAGGUUGCCUCUGGACUUUGGGAUUCCUCUGGCUUCCGAGCCCCCGGGCGUCCAGAGAAGGACCUAACAGGGUUUUCCCAUCUAGGUGUAUGUGAUAUGGGGGUGGGUGUGUGUGUGUAGGAAGAGAGGUGUGAGGGGGUGGUGCUUAAAGUGAAGGGAGGCUGCAGGGCUUGGUCUCGCCUUGGAUAGCGCACCGCUUGCAACUACUCUGCAUAUCCUACCUUUGCUUCGUUUCUCAUUCCAACCUACACCCCGCCACCGCCCUCGCUCGUUCUAUGACUUAAGGCAAAAGUUACUUAAACUCUCUGUCCCUUAAUUUUUAUCAGAAGUAAAAUAAAAUGUGGGUAAUAAGAGUCCUUCCUUCUUAGAAUUGUUAUGAGAAAUAAAGAAGUUAAAUAUACGUAAAUUGCUUAGAACAAUUUCUGGUCACUGGUAAAUUCUGUACAGGUGUUAAUUUUAUUAUUAACCCACAGCUUCUGUAUUAACUUAACAUUUCCUCUUUUCCGGGGAGUUUUAUGGUUAGGACCUUUCCUCUCUACCUCUUUCACUUGGCCUUCCUUCCUUUCUCUGACCAAUUGGUGGCACUCAUGAUUUUCUAAGCAAUUUCAAACAGCGACUAAAAACUCUCCCCAAGGGGCAUCUCGCCUAUGGAGAUCUCCCAUAUAUUACACCCAAGAUCUCCCAUAUAUCUCCCAUAUAUUGCACAACUAUGGGAGCAAGAUGCCAAUCCCAGACAGUUACUGUGUUCCUCCCUUGUGGGACUGACUGCCCUGUUCCACGUGUCUCCCCUGCUAAGCCCAUGCAAGAUGUCACUCCCUUAUGAGGAAAGUACUUGUAUUGGAAGGGUUCACCCCCUUUACACUCUGAGUUUCCUGAGACCAGAGACCAUGCCUUUAUCCCCAGUGCCUGGCACAGUUUAGUCAUGCGAUAAAUGGUUGUUGAACCCACAUGUCCAUCCACAGAGAACUGGCUGAAUAAACCACGGUACAGCCACACAAUGCAGUUCUGUGCAUCUAUACAAAGGAAUGAAGACCAUCUCUGUGGAGGCCAUGGAACCCUAGGAUAUAUUAAGCGAAAAAAGCUUGCCUCCCUCCUAAGAAGGAUGGGUGCAUUUACUUACAUUUUAUUUAUUUUUUUUCUUCUGUGCCUGUGGUGUCUGGAAGUUCCUGGGCAAGGGAUUUGAACCUGUGCCACAGCAGUGACACAAGCUGCUGCAGUGACAAUGCUAGGUCCUUAAUCUAUUGUGCCAUAAGGGAACUCCAUUUCCUUGCAUUUUAAAUAAGCAGCAAUGGAAGUAUAAAUUACAAACUAAUAAAAAGUGUUAUGUAUAAGAAAAGAAGAAGGAAAAAAUGGGUAUGGAAGCUAGACUUCUUUUCAUAUACUCUGUGUUAUAGUUUUGACUUUAGCAUCAUCUAAGUAUUUUACAUAAUUAUUUUAAAGACUUCCCACUGUAGUGCAGUGGGUUAGGGUGUAGGUUGCAGCUGCAGCUCAGAUUUGAUCCAUGGCCAGAGAACUUCUGUAUGCCACUGGUGUAAACAACAUAUAAAUAGAAACCAAGGUCUUCAGUGAAAGAUAAAGAGAUACAAGUAUCAAAUCAACGAAGUUGGGAGUUCCCAUUGUGGCUCAGUGGAGAUGAAUCUGACUAGUAUCCAUGAGGACUCGGGUUGGAUCCCUGGCCUCACUCAGUGAGUUAAGGAUCUGGUAUUGUGGUGAGCUGUGAUGUAGGUUGAAGACACUGCUCAGAUCUGGAGUUGCUGUGACUGUGGUAUAGGCCAGAGGCUGCAGCUCUGAUUUGACCUCUAGCCUGGGAAACUCCAUUUGCUGAGGGUAAGGCCCUAAACACACACACACACACACACACAAUCAAUCAAUGAAGUUAUAUGUAGAUUCUUCUUUUUUUUUUUUUUUUUUUGGUGGUACCUGAGGCAUGUACAAAUUCCCAGGCCAGGGAUUGAACUGGCACCACAGCAGUGAGCCAAUUCACAGCAGUGACAAGUCUGGAUCCUUAACCAUUGAGCCAUCAGGAAACUCCAGGUGUAAAUUCUAUCAUCCAAAAUUUGAAUUGGCAAUGGUAGGAUGAAUUCACAAUUUUUCUCUUUCUACAAAAUAUAUCCUAGCAGUGUCUACUGAAAAGGCCAAGAAUCAAGGAUAAUCCAGACUAUGAACAGCCCUAGUGUUCAAAUUCAUAAUCUAAAUGCCAUUGCCACUGAGGAACCAGAAUUCCUUUAGGAAGUGACUAAUUUUAUUUAUUUUUAAAGCAUCUUUUUUCUUUCUGUCUUUAGUGCGACACCCUUGGCACAUGGAGAUUCCCAGGCUAGAGGCUGAAUUGGAGCUGCAACUUCCAGCCUACACCAGAGCCACAGCAACCCUGGAUCUGGGCUGUGUCUGUGACCUACACCACAGCUCACGGCAACGCCAGAUCCUUAACCUACUGAGCAAGGCCAGGGAUCGAACCUGUGUCCUCAUGGAUACUUCUCAGAUUCGUUUCUGCUGAGCUAAGAUUGGAACUCUGGAAGUGACUAAUUUUAGAACUGAGGUAAGGAUUGAGUAAGAUGAGCCCAUGGCAUUUAAUUGUAACAGAAAGUAAAGUAGCUAUCAAAUACUACUGAGGUUAUGUCAAGAAAAACCCCAAUGAUGAAGAGGCACCCUUGGCCAAAGAAGGAAAAAUUUGGGCUUAAAAAAUAAUGACUAGUUGGAGUUCCUGUCGCAGCUCAGUGGUAAUAAACCUGACUGGUAUCUGUUAAGAUACAGGUUCAAUCCCUGGCCUCACUCAGUGGACUGGGGAUCUGGCAUUGCCAUGAGCUGUGGUGCAGGUGGCAGACGUGGCUCAGAUCCUAUUUUGCCAGCAGCUGCAACUCCAAUUCGACCCCAAGCCUAGGAACUUCCAUAUGCUACAGGUG
RNAcentral lists this long non-coding RNA (3102 nucleotides) under Sus scrofa (pig). RNAcentral's name for it is "lncRNA (ENSSSCG00000054932.1)". The record is from RNAcentral. Lineage: Eukaryota; Metazoa; Chordata; Mammalia; Artiodactyla; Suidae.